This 450-nucleotide ribosomal RNA is filed under the name Burkholderia sp. MRh3(28). RNAcentral describes it as "bacterial SSU rRNA". It matches the Rfam family "Bacterial small subunit ribosomal RNA", at positions 51 to 497 of the family's 1533-position model. Lineage: Bacteria; Pseudomonadati; Pseudomonadota; Betaproteobacteria; Burkholderiales; Burkholderiaceae. The record is from RNAcentral.
UUAAAUGCAGUCGAACGGCAGCACGGGGGCAACCCUGGUGGCGAGUGGCGAACGGGUGAGUAAUACAUCGGAACGUGUCCUGUAGUGGGGGAUAGCCCGGCGAAAGCCGGAUUAAUACCGCAUACGCUCUACGGAGGAAAGGGGGGGAUCUUAGGACCUCUCGCUACAGGGGCGGCCGAUGGCAGAUUAGCUAGUUGGUGGGGUAAAGGCCUACCAAGGCGACGAUCUGUAGCUGGUCUGAGAGGACGACCAGCCACACUGGGACUGAGACACGGCCCAGACUCCUACGGGAGGCAGCAGUGGGGAAUUUUGGACAAUGGGGGCAACCCUGAUCCAGCAAUGCCGCGUGUGUGAAGAAGGCCUUCGGGUUGUAAAGCACUUUUGUCCGGAAAGAAAACUUCUGCCCUAAUACGGCGGGAGGAUGACGGUACCGGAAGAAUAAGCACCGGC